RNAcentral lists this transfer RNA (66 nucleotides) under Kalotermes flavicollis. Its description in RNAcentral is "tRNA-Phe". The record is from RNAcentral. Lineage: Eukaryota; Metazoa; Arthropoda; Insecta; Blattodea; Kalotermitidae.
ACUUGGAUAGCUUAUAAUUAGAGCAUAACAUUGAAGAUGUUAUUGAGGUUUACUUACCUUCAGGUG